RNAcentral lists this small nuclear RNA (315 nucleotides) under Erinaceus europaeus (western European hedgehog). RNAcentral's name for it is "7SK RNA (ENSEEUG00000018873.1)". It matches the Rfam family "7SK RNA". From Rfam's summary of the family: 7SK was discovered as an abundant small nuclear RNA in the mid-70s but a possible function has only recently been suggested. The record is from RNAcentral. Lineage: Eukaryota; Metazoa; Chordata; Mammalia; Eulipotyphla; Erinaceidae.
GGAUAUGAGGGAGAUCUGGCUGCGACAUCUGUCACCCCAUUGAUCGCCAGAGUUGAUUCAGCUGAUCUGGCUGGGCUAGGUGGGUGUCCCCUUCCUCCCUCACCCCUCCAUGUGCAUCCCUACUGAAGCUGCGUGCUUGGUCAAAGAGGACGGCUUUCCCUGAUAGAGACAACGGGUCUUCAGGUUAUACAGAGUAGCUGCGCUCCCCUGCUAGAACCUCCAAACAAGCUCUCAAGGUCCAAAGUUAAGCAGCAGGUGAGAAGUUGGGAAAAGAGGCAAGAUAGAUUGUUUCGACAAUGUCGAAAUGGCUUCUCU